CUGUUCGUAGGUCUCACCAUCAAAAAUGGUGCAUUGGACAUACCAAGUCAAGAAACGAUAAGUUUCAACAGUCAUUGGCCGAAUGUUCGUCAGCCUCUCAAACCUCUUGGUUUGGUCUCAGGUGUGAGCAGCAAGAUUUCUGGUGAGAUAUCUGGUAUCACAACCCAUGCAAUUUUUAGAAUGACCUAUUUUAUUUUUGAUGUCUUAAUCAUCAGCUUAUUUGUUUUUAACAAAAAGCAUUUUUUCUUUCCGUUUAGCUCCUGCAAGAUUUGCUGUGAUCUAUGCAGAGCAAUGUUACUUCCUGUUCCUAACACUGUCGUUCUUGCACACCACAUGGGCAUAGAGCAAUCCAAAGUAUUCAUCCACAAUGUGCAGUGUCAGGAUGCUCUACUUUGCUACUGCACAAUGUGUUUAGUUAUAGGGUCCCACUAGUGCAGUUCAAAUUUAUUCAAAGAGCUUUCAAAGUACAGAUGUUUCGGGACCCCUGUCCCUUUAUCAAUGAUAAAAGCCCUUGAUAAAGGGACAGGGGUCCCAAAACAUCUGUACUUUGAAUUCUCUUUGAUUAAAUUUGGGCUGCACUAGUGGGCCCCUAUAACUAAGCUGCCCUUUGUGGAAGAAUACUUUGGAUUGCUAUGUUUUGCUUGCUGUUGGGGCUACAGCAGCUUAUACACAAUAACUGCACAAGGUUUAACUAUUUUGCCUUAUUGUGCUAUACCACAGUCUUAGAUCAUAUUUUUGGUCUACUAGAGCAGUGUUUCCCAACCCAGUCCUCAAGGCACACCUACCAGUCCAGGAUUUAGGGAUUACCCAGUUGUGUCUAAGGUGUUUUUUUUUUCUUCUUUGUAAAAACACCUUAGACACAACUGGGUAAUCCCUAAAUCCUGGACUGGUAGGUGUGCCUUGAGGACUGGGUUGGGAAACACUGUACUAGAGCAUGACUGUCUGGGCCUGGUUAAAAAUGUAUUCCAAGUGCGUUUGAAAAAGAGCAGGAAAGAAUGCUUUAUCCAAGUUUAGAGAAACAGUUAUUGUAAUUUUGUGUCAAUUUACAUUUAACGUAAUCUUGCCAGUGUUGCAUUUUUUUUAUUUUAUUUUUUUUAAAGCAGGUUUGGUAGUUCACUCUUCAAUCCGUAUAUAGUGUGUUUAUUCUACUAACUGUUUGCUCUGGUCAUAUACAAAGCAGAAGUUUUAUACAGAUUCAACUUACCUCUGACAUGACUGGGUACCUGGUGCAUCCAACAGAUUGCUGCUCAGAUUUUCCCACUUCUUAACACUGUAACAAUUCCAUGUUAUAACUUAUUUACUCGGAUUUUAGAUCUUAUUGAUUUCUGUUGGGACCUAACUUUUUUGCCAAAUUUUUGAAAUUUAAAAAACAUAUUUACCAAAGAUUACAUACAGUUAGAUCAUGGGAAAAUAUAAUUUGACAUUUGUUAAUUUGCAUUAGCUAAAUAGUGAGAAUCUGUGAGUUAAAGGCAAACUAUAGUGCAAGGAAAACAAACUUUUUUUCCUGGCACUGUAGCUUCCCCUUCUGUCAAGGCCCCCUCCCGCAGCACUGAAGGGGUCAAUAACCACUUCAGUCACUUACCUGGGUCCAGCGCCGAUGUCCCUCUGCUCCGCUCUGCCCACGCUCCUCCCCAUGGCGGGGGAGACUAAAUGCGUGGCUAUGACCGCGCACGCAUUAGGAUCUCCCCUCGGAAAGCAUUUAAUGCUUUCCUAUAGGGGUUCUGGCGACGAUGGAAGUCCUCACGCAUAGCGUGAGGACGUCCAGCGUCGUCUAGACAAACAAAAGUUUUAUAAAAACUGAAAUAAUUACCACUGCAGGGUUAAGGGUGAUGGGAGUUGGCACCUUGACCAGUUUAAUGGGCUGAAGUGGUCUUGAUGCCUACAGUGUCCCUUUUAAUUCAUCUGAUUUGCUGUAUGUUCAGAAAUUGGGUUUGCAUGGUCAUCUCAGUUUUAUUCUUCUGAAUACCGUAAAAUUACUUUUCUGAGAAAAGGUGGUGUUUACGUUGAGCUGCAAAAACACCUCUAGAGGCUGUCACUCAGAGAGCCGAUUGUGGUUCAGCACGCUCUGCAUGAUGACACUGAAUGCUCCUCAUAGAGUUGCUUUAGUAUAAUGCUGGUUGGCACGACAUUAACACAUUGGAUUGGUUGAGAUCAUCAGGUGCCUCUUGGCUAAGGGAGAUUUUUUUCAGGCUCCCCCACCCUUCUCAGUUUCAGACCAGUCCACUAAUCAAACAGGGCAUCAUUGUGCAGUAGCAAAGUAGAGCAUCCUGACACUGGAACAAACCCUGCAUGAAUCACGCUGAUCAGACUUUCCCUCUUCUCCCCCUGUUAGUAUGUUGCAAGGUGAAGAGAUCUCCCAACUCUACAUAUUUAAAUCUGUCAGGCAUACCCAACACACUCUUCCAGCAUCCCUAGGGAUAGAAUGCAGAUUGGUUAGAUCUGAGCCACCUCCCUGCCCCCCCAAAAUGGCUAUGGAAACUAAUUAUAAGAAGCCAGUAAAUUGUGGUAAAAAAAAAUCAGAUUACCUGCUUUUUUUCAGCCUGCAGAGUGAGGCAGCUAUUUCAUUUAAAGCUAGUUUUUGAAUGAGUUCAUUGUCUCCAAGUGAUGCAUGUCCCUUUAACGUAAGAGUGUUCCUUUAUGAUGGUUCAUCAGAAAAUACAUUUAACUUUUCUGUCUUUCAGGGCAUACUGGGAGCAGCGGAUCAGCUGUUAAUUAUACCCCAUCUUUUUUAAAAAAAGAAAUGGGUUUGGCAAGUCAGAAGGUUCAUUUAGCUCCACUUACAGAUCCAGCUCCAAGUAAGUGGUUGUGUUCAUGCUUUAAAAAAAAAAAAAAGAAAAAAAGACCGUUAUAGUACUGUCAUAAUAUAGUAUUAUAUUAAAUAUAGGGUUCAAAUGUUUCACUCACCCACUAGUCAUUGCCAUGCCCCCCUCAAUGAUGUUGAAAGCAGCAGCUCUUUCCAAAGGACUUUACUAUCUAACUAGCAUAUAAAGCUUUUGUAGAGAUCUAAUAGUCAACCCUGGCACAUUUAAAAACAUGUUCUGCAUGAUUGCAUUUUUAUCUAGUCUAUUUGGUCUGAUCUGAUGUUAAAGCGGCACUGUCAUGGCCGCAUAAGUUUUUUUGGUUUAUUUUAACCCCCCUCCCCACUCCACCAAAUCGAAUUGCCCUCUAGGCCCCCCAUAUUGCUUAUUUUUAAUCUUUAUUUUGUGGCCUAACCUAGGUCCUCUGCACCUCCAUCAUUGUGUGGGCAGUUGAAGGCCCUGUGGGACAAGUCAUCUGCCCACACUAGAUAGCGCUGUAAAAUUCCCGCUGACACAAACUGAAUGUGUUUUUGUUUGUUCGUUCGCGUGCAGCUCCCUCCUUGUAAUAUGUAAAACUAAAAACCUCCCAUGUCCUCCCUCACUCCAUGCCACAGCCACAGGCUGUAUAAAAAAAAAAAAGUGGUUGAUGCAUCUAUUAACUAGCGGGGGGGACAUAGUGGGCCCCCCUCCCUCCAAGCUUCUACCCGUACCCGGCUGGAGGCUGUAUGGAGGCUCUUCAGCUAAAUGGGGGACAUAGGGUCCCCCCUUCCCCAACCCAUGAGCGGCGCGUGGGGGCCCUAAAACAUCCUAUUGUUUCCCCCUUCCCGGCACCCACCCAUGAGUGGCGGGUUGGGGGCCUUAAAAGACAAUGGGGGCUUCUUAGACACUGCCCUAGUGCUGUUGUAUGCCUGACUGUCCAAAUAUCCCAAUAAUUUCCCUCCAAUGGUCUAAUUGCCCUGGCGCAUCACACAGACGACAUCUAUUGACUCAUAUUUAUCAACUAUAUAAUGCAACUUUUUUUUUUUUAAUUAAGUCAGUACAUCAGCAAAGCGCUAGCCUCAAUGCUGAGGCAGAAACAAGCAAAAUCAAAAAUCCCAUACAUACUCCAUGACGCAGGAGGGAAAAUAAACGACCACCGAGAAAUUAACACAAUGAUUGCUAACUACUACGAAAGUCUUUAUAACCUGCGGGACGAUACACAGACACACCAACCCAAUCACACUGAAAUACAAAACUUACUUGCCAACAUAAGACUACCAACUCUCACGCAAUUGCAUAAAGAAAGUCUACAAAAACCAAUCACACUACAAGAACUGAUGCAGACAAUACACUCAUUACCAUCAGGGAAAUCAGCGGACCCAGGUGGUUUCACCAACGAAUAUUAUAAAACAUUGCAGAACACUCUAGCCCCGCACCUAGUCACAGCACUAAAUAACAUAGUACAAUUGGGAAACAUGUCACCAGAGAUGUUACUCGCGCACAUAACCACAUUACCAAAACCGGGGGAGACUCUGGAUCAGCCAAAAAAUCUAUGCCCCAUUUCCCUACUAAAUACCGACACAAAAAUUCUCGCAAAAAUAUGCUCUACUAGAGUAACGACCAUCAUACCUUCCCUGAUACACCCAGACCAAUUGGGAUUUGUGGGAGACAGGGGGCAGAUGGCACAAGAAAACUUCACAGCCUGCUUUAUGGUAAAAAGGCCCAUGAACAACCCAGAGUGUUUGUCAGUAGAUGCCAAAAGGCUUUUGACAAGUUGCACUGGAAUUUCCUCCAAACAGUCCUGCAAAAAUUUAACUUCCCACCCGCAUUUCAAGGCCUAAUCUCGGCACUCUACUCUACACCUGCCGCCCAAAUAAUGAACGGAGGCUUUGUGUCCCAACCCUUUGAAAUCACAAACGGCACCCGUCAAGGAUGCCCACAAUCCCCAAUACUCUAUAUCCUCGCCCUUGAACCACUCGCACAAUCCAUUAGGGACAACGUAAUGAUUAAAGGGGUAUGCAUAGCAGACAAAGAAUACAAAAUUACCAUGUUUGCUGAUGAUGUCAUGCUCUCGUUUACUGACCCGAUAGUUUCUAUCCCGGCUCUCCAUACCACUCUGAAACAAUAUAGUGAUUGCUCGUAUUAUAAAUUGAACACCACAAAAAUGCAGGGCAUGUGCCUACACACACCACCACACACAACAACAAUUCUGAAACAGACACACAAAUAUGAAUGGAAGGACAGCCUUACAUUCCUGGGGAUCAAUUUCACAAAACAAGAACACCGCCUGCUCAGAGACAACUACAUCAAAACCUUAAACUCUAUAAAACAACAGAUGAUGGAAUGGAAAGGGAAAUCCAUUGUCUCAUAGAUGGGAAAAAUUGCUGCAGUAAAAAUGUUAAUAUUGCCAAAACUGCAAUACUUAUUCCGCACUUUACAAAUUAAACUACCCCAAACAUUCCUCAAGAUAGCUCAGAAAGUGAUUAACACAUUUAUUUGGGCACCCAAAAAGCCAAGGACAGCGGCAAAUAUUAUGUACCUAUCAUACAAAUUGGGGGGGCACGGACCUACCACACCUCACCACGUAUUAUAGAGCGGCCGUCAUGAGCCAACUCAUAACAACGUUACACCAAUCCUCGACACCAAACUCAUGGAUAGACAUUGAGGAGACACACACAGACGGACAACACAUUACUUCUCUUGUCUGGCUACUACCACAACACAGGAAAAAACACAUACACAUGUCUCCUACAACCGCGACAACACUGAGAGAAUGGGACAGACAUCACAAAAUCCAUAAAACGAACACAACUCGGUCACCCGCAAUGCCAAUUUCUUCUUUCACAGAACUCAUACCCUUUGUGAACAUCGCCACUUGGAACACAACAGGUUUGAGACACCUAUACCAACUAUAUGACCAACAUAAACUUAUACCAUUUAACCAGCUGCAAAGGGAAUACAAACUCCCUAACUAAGCAGAAUUCGCACAUAGGCAGAUUGCCUCCUGGCUGGGAAAACACAAACAUUUACUUCCCUCAAAAGACAGGUGGAUGAACCUUACAGCCCCAGAGCAAAUGUGCCUACAGAACAAACAGCCUUCACAUCCAUUAUCUAAGAUAUACAAUCAAAACUAUCUAACAAAAUCCUUACAUGACCUUACAUUUGUCCAAGCUUGGGAAACAGAAUUGGGUAAGAAACUAACGGACGACCAAUGGGCGCACACAUUCUGCGCAAACAAAACCCUAACACUGAACACAUCCCAUUUGGAAAUAAGUAGGAAAAUACUGUACCGCUGGUACUUAGUCCUUACACAAAUGAAACAUAUUACACCGGCACAUUCAGGGAUUUGUUGGAGUUGCAACAAACACCCAAGGACAAUGCUGCACAUGUGGUGACAUGCCCAAAUCUGGGGAAAAUGUGGACAGACAUACACUGCCUAAUACAAAAGGUGACCAAGACUAACAUACCACAAGCACCUGAACACUACAUCCUCCAGUGCCUACCAACUGGCAUUAAAAAAGCUGACAGAUACUUAAUAUAUCACAUUACUUCCGCCGCACUCACAAAUAUAAGCAGAAAAUGGUUGCAAACAAAACCUCCACACAUAAGUGAAUGCAUUCAACAGAUUGAAGAUACAAAAAAAUAUGAAAUGGCGGCUAGAGCGCAUAGACUCCCACAGGCAUACUGGAGGGUGGCGUGGGAAAGGUGGAACCGGCACCAACACACGCCACAAACCCACUAAUACAGAGUAAAGGCUCCAACGAACAAUAACGAAUGGUAGUGUCACAGAAAACCACAAAUGAUGCACCAAGAUAAAUGACACAAAAUGAGAACACAUAUAAAAUGGGUAGAGGCAACAAGGGUCGACCCUCUUCCCUACCUCCUCCCCCCCAUCCCCAGUUCUUUGGGGAACAGUAUCCUGGUUCUACCUCCAAGUUCAACCCCCCAUACCAAUUCCAACCACCAUUAGGAACGUACAGUACAUUUCUAAGUUAAGACCAGAAACCAGCACAAACCGCACAACCACCAGAGCUCAUCUGGAAUAAAGAGCUGAAAGAAUUAUAAUAUGUAUGAUGUAACAAAGUAUGGUGUAACUUAAGAAUCUUUCAUCUCAAAAAUGUGAACUCAUAGCAUGUGAAUAUUGUAACGAUUACUCUAACUAAUGUACCAUGUUGGAAUGUAAAUCUGUACACAUUGUAAAACCAUAAAAAUUGCACACAAAAAAAAAAAGCCAAUGGGGGGACCUCCUAUUGUUUCCCCCUACCCAGCACCCACCCAUGAGUGGCAGAUGGUAGCCCUAAAAGACAAUAUGGGGGGGUGGGGGCAGGGCCCUAAAUGACAGUAAGUGGGGGGCCCUAUGUUCCUCCGGGCCAACACCAAACUCAAAAAAUGAAUUUUAUUCAUUAAAUUAAAAUAAGCAAAGGCAUAAAACACAGCCGAAUUAGAUCAAACCAAUACUUGAUAUUAUACACACACACACUUUUAUUUCCUAUAUAUGUAUAAUAUAUUAUAAAAUGAUUAAAGCAUUUUAUAUAUAUUAUUAGAUUAGAAGUGUAUUUUGAGAUGUGUGUAUAUAAACAGCUCACACUGUUCCCCUGCAGGCAGCUCUAUAGAUUUCUUUUGCGGCCAUGUGAGCUGCUGCAGGAGGACUGCUGGGGUCUCGGGGCAGUCCCCCCGACCGGGAUCGCUGGUCCAGGUAAGUGUAGUACUCACAUUUGCCGCAGCCGUACUAGGUAUGUCCGCGGUCCUUAACGACUGUUUGAUGUUUGUUGGUCAUACCUAGUAUGUCCACAGUCGUUAAGGGGUUAAAGAAACACUAUAGGGUCAGGAACAAAAACAUGUAUCCCUGACCCUAUAGUGUUAAAACCACCUUACAAGGGGUUAGAACUUACCUUAUUUCCAGCACCAAGCUGGUCUGCCUGCGCUGGCCCUGCCUCCUUGCUGACAUCGUCAGAAUUUAUGAUUUCAGACAAUCCAGUGUCUUCUCAUAGGUAAAGCAUUGGAUUGGCUGAAAUCGGCAAGGAGGCGGCACAGGGCUGGGCCAAACUCCAGCUUGCCCAAUGCUCCUCAUUGAAUAAAUGCAUCUCUGUGAGGAAAGUUCAGCAUCUCCAUGCAGAGAAUGGAGACGCUUAACGCACUGCACACUGUUCAGCAAUGCCCCAGGAAGCACCUCCAGUAUCCACUACAGUUGUCCGUAGGGGGCAAUGUAAACACUGCCUUUUCUGUGAAAAGGCAGUGUUUGAAUGAAAAUGCAUGCAGUCACUGUCUAUACUCACCAGAACAACUACAUUAAGCUGUAGUUGUUCUGGUGACUAUAGUGUCCCUUUUACUUCUAAAUGUCAGAGCAUUGGGUAGUGAGACAAAAACUGCUUCAUUAAGCUAAAAGUUAUUUAAAUUUGCCAAACAUCAUGGUAAUAACAGACGUUAAUCAUUCACAGGGUAAUGGCAAUAACAUGGUAAUGCAACCUCCUACAUGACUAAGGCAUCUCGAUACUUUGCUCGUAACCAGCAUUCAUUUUAGAAAAUACAAUAACAAGUAUGUCCUGUUAAUUCCUUAUUUCUAUAAAUGUUAGCUAUUCCUUCCCACUUGUGACUUUUUUUUGCACUUCACAGGUUGUUUUUAUGUCAGUUAAAUAAAAAUUUAUAAAUGCUUACACAGAAAAUACAAUUAUGCUAGUGAAUGAUUGUGGUUCUAUCUAGCUCCUUACCGACCAUUAUUUUUCUAGAUUAUGGAUCUCUGAAAUCUGUUGGAGCAUACUUGGGACAGACUUCAUUCACCUCUCCUUCCAAAACUGCCACAGGCCUGUCACCCAGGCCCCCACCUCCCAUUCAGCCGAUUCAUGGGAGAACAGACUGGAUUUCCAAAUAUGGGGGCCGGAGAUAAGGGGCCUUGAUGGCGUUUAUAUUUUGCACUCAACACCUGCUUUGGAUUGGUAAUCUGACAUGGAAGGAACUACCUUCAUAUCCCUGUCCUUUUAAGCUGGAGGACGACAAGCAACUGGCUGAAAUUUCAACAUUUUCUUACAAAACUUAUUUUGUCACCAAAUGAAGGUCUUAGGUCUUUAUUUUAGAUUGAUGCCAUUUAUUACUACUGUAUUUUGGUAACAAUUUAUACUAAGUUAGAAUACUAACCAAGCAGGACAUUCACUAACUGGAGAGAAAGCUAAUGCAUGAUCAUUUUAUGGAAGCUUAUAUUUGCACUCUCCAAGGACCACAAGAGUCAGCUGAAUAGCUGGAGAGACCAUUACAAUGCUCUCAUAAGGAAGCCUUUAUCUUUGCUUUUUGAAUCUUUCCCAGAAUAGCUGCAUUGCUUAUUAACUGAUUUUUGUUAUUGUUUGUUUUUUAGCAUAUCUGCAAUGCAUUGCUGAGCAAUACUUUGCAGUACUUUUCUUUACUGAAAAGGUUAAUAUUUUAUGGUCCUCUGAAUUCAAUGGGAUAAUAACCAAAUGUCCCGACAGGCAGUAAGUAAUAAACUAUAUUUUAUAAGACUCCUAUGCCUUGUCUUAAAGGGUCUCUGUCACACCUAACACAUCAGUCUUUUUUGCUAUGUGUAAAUAAUUUAAUCUAUAAGUAAUACUUGCCAAAUGGAUAACACAUAUAGUAAACUAUAAUUGGCCCUAUGCUAGUCACAAGAGAUUGCUGAAAAGAACUCCAUUGGAUGCCUGCUCAUCACCUGGCAUCUGCUUACAUGUGUCCCAGAAAACUUAGCUUUCUGAUGGAUCAGAUAGAAUGCUGAGAGAGACUUGUGCAUGUAUCAUCCCCUAUCUCUGUGACAAGAUGUAAUGUAAAUAGAUUUGCAAAUUUAGUUAUAAAAAAAAUGCACACUUGGUAUCCAUUCAGCAAGUAAUAUCUAUAGAUAAAAUAGCUUCCAGGUUAAAAUACAGUUACACAUGACAGAGUCCCUUUUGUGUAUUUUUUUCUAUUUGAAAGAGGUGUUUCAUUUUUUGUUUACGUUUUAGAACCUAGUACAACGCAAUAUAACCUCAAGUGCUUUAUGUAAUUGUGGCAUUUAAAACUGCAUUUUGCACAUUCUCCACAAUCACAGCCGACUGACAAAAAUGUGUCAAAAAUAGCAGCAGGAACUGACUAGGAUAGUUUUCAUAAACUGCUGUUAUGGCCUAAAUUUUACAAAUCAGACUGUUAUGAUGACUUGAUAAUGGUUAAGUGAAUUGAACCAAAGGUGUGGAUUAUAUGUACCCACAAAGCCCAGCAUGUAGAUAAAAAAACUUAAAAUAAGUGAAAUGGUACUUGACCAGUUUAAUUGAUCAAUAUAUAAUAUUAUCUAUAUAUGCAAUGUACAGAAGUGCGUUUGUUCAAAUACUUUCUGGACUACAGACGAUCCUUUUAUCCACUGCAGUACAGGUUUGUGAUAUUUAGGUUUGUACUGCAUUAUAUAGUUCAUGCAGUACAGGCUUGUGAUAUUGUGCCCUUAAUUACAGUGUGUGGUUAGUGGUUUUAGAAAGCAUUACAUGCAAAAAGCAAAUUAUCACUGGGUAUGCCAAGAGCAACUCUGCUGUUGUUGGUCUGCAAUUUUGCUUAUGCCCAGCCACUUCAAAGGAGAUGGCUGAGUAUAUUAAGACUUGUGUUUGAUAGCUGAAAGGUUGCUGCUCCCUAUCACCGGUACUAGUACAGGCAAAAUGUAACUGAUAGUCUUACUAAUGUUGUGUACAACAGCAUUAUGUUAAAGGGAUAAUAUUGGCAACAGAACCACUUCUGCUUAAUACAGUGGUUAUGGGGCGAAUAGUCUGUCUGGGUUUACACUGCUGCAUAAACCCACCUCUGGUGUUUGUCACUCAGUCAUUAGAGGGACAUCUUUGGUUCAGUCCUGCAAAAAUUACAGACCCGCAGUUCAACGUCUCUAUGCUCUGAACUCUCCAUGUACAGAUGCAUUAACAUGAUGCUUCUCUAUCAGAAGAUGCUGAUCGGUCGCAGUGUGGCGAUUGCCACACAUGCACACUUGCCUACAAAUGCUUCUCUAUGGGUUCAUCAGGAUUGAUCUAAGCAAGCUGGGUAGGGGGCAGGAGGUGUGGGGGGGAGAGGGUAGAAGGAUAACUGCACAGAGACCUGUGUGCUGGGGCAAUAAAGAUAAGUAAAAUGUUUUGGGGAGGAGGAUGGAGGUUAAUUGCCUAAGACUUGUCCUAUUGUUAGAAAAUAUCUUAAGCCAAAUUUGACCUAUCUUUGCAUAUUGCAAUAAGUAUUGUGUGGUUUUGGAUAGUAUCUAAAACGAGUUUUAAUCUAUUUAUAAAUGUGAGGCUUAAGAUUGAAGUUGUACUUUCACCUGAAGAAAAAAACAUGUAUGUGUCAGGUGCCAUAAAAUAGUAUGAAUAUGACAACAUUGGGGGCAUUACCUGCUGCCUUUGGAAAAUACAGGUUGGAGCCAGCAGUGGUAAAUACACACGGUUACUCUAUUUAAUUUAUCCUUGACAGACACUAUAUAUUUCAGGUGUGCCAAUAUAUGUAAAGAAGAUUUUUUUUAUUUUUUUUUUAAUAAUAGUUCUUUAAAAUACUUGUGUUAAAUGUAUCAAUAGUAUUUUGAAUGUUAUUUUUUUGUAUUUUUAUAAACCUUAAUUAUACCCAUGCAAAACUAUUCUAGUGAAUAAUAAAUACGGUUAAACGACUGAUCCAUUUUUUUAUUUUUGAUUCUUUAUUGUUGCACUGAUAGACAUGCAAAGUAUGACAUAGCAAGCUUAUGCAAAAACUAAAACACAGUAGUGGUAUCUUGUGGGUUACAGAAAGGAAAGUUGUGUCGUUGAUGUAAAGAUCAUCUUACAUACAUUGAUCAACAGUUGUUGACUAAUCCAUUUUUAUCUCCAUAAAGUGUUAUGUAUAC
Pelobates cultripes (western spadefoot toad) is the source of this 11607-nucleotide non-coding RNA. The record is from the annotation of a GenBank genome assembly. Lineage: Eukaryota; Metazoa; Chordata; Amphibia; Anura; Pelobatidae.